UUGAAUUUUAAUGAAGAGUUUGGUUGUAGCUGGCCCAUUCAUUUGGGCGUGUGCACACCUUCCUCUUUCAUCCCACACACACCUGUGAACCUGUGAGACAGAGAUGGGGAAUUUACUUGCUGCUUUUUGGAAUACAAAGGCAAUAGGUUAUUGGACCCCCCCUCUGUCUACUCAAUUAAUAUAAACUCAAUUUAUUUUAAAACGAAUGUAAUGGAUGUAACACAUCUCAUAC
Molecule: unclassified non-coding RNA, 232 nt
Filed under: soil metagenome
Description: partial internal transcribed spacer 1
Source: RNAcentral